This 434-nucleotide unclassified non-coding RNA is filed under the name Hevea brasiliensis (rubber tree). The record is from RNAcentral. Lineage: Eukaryota; Viridiplantae; Streptophyta; Magnoliopsida; Malpighiales; Euphorbiaceae.
GAAUGCCGCAACCUCUCCUCUCUAGCAAUCUUUACUGAAGAUGUGGAAUCAAUACUAGAGGAAAAGCAGCCCCCCUGCGUUCUUACCUCUCUUAAAAUUGACAAUCUUCAGAGUCUGGAGUCUCUUAAUUAUGGAGUUCUUGAACACCUUACACAUUUUGGAGAUUUCGAACUGCACUAACCUCCUGUACAUGCCAGAAUGCAACCAAUUCCUUCUCCCUUCUCUUGUUUAUCUGUGUAUAAAUAAUUGUCCGCAACUCAAAUCAAUUCUGAAAGGGGGUUUGCCUUCCAAAUUUCAUUCACUUUACAUCCAUAACUGCAACAAAGUCGUGGAUGGCCUCAUGCAACUGGAUUUACGAUUACUGCCACUCUUUCAGGAAUUAACAGUUGGUGGGAGCAACUAUGUGGAAUUACCAGAAGAGACGCUGCUGCCUU